AAUUUGAUCAUGGCUCAGAGUGACCCGCGGGGUUAUAGGCCUAACACAUGCAAGUCGAACGGCAGCACAGGAGAGCUUGCUCUCUGGGUGGCGAGUGGCGGACGGGUGAGGAAUACAUCGGAAUCUACUCUGUCGUGGGGGAUAACGUAGGGAAACUUACGCUAAUACCGCAUACGACCUACGGGUGAAAGCAGGGGAUCUUCGGACCUUGCGCGAUUGAAUGAGCCAAUGUCGGAUUAGCUAGUUGGCGGGGUAAAGGCCCACCAAGGCGACGAUCCGUAGCUGGUCUGAGAGGAUGAUCAGCCACACUGGAACUGAGACACGGUCCAGACUCCUACGGGAGGCAGCAGUGGGGAAUAUUUGGACAAUGGGCGCAAGCCUGAUACCAGCCAUACCGCGUGGGUGUAAGCAAGGCCUUCGGGUUGUAAAGCCCUUUUUGUUGGGAAACGAAAUCCAGGCUGGCUAAUACCUGGGUUGGGAUGACGGUACCCAAAAGAAUUAGCCGGG
This 507-nucleotide ribosomal RNA is filed under the name uncultured bacterium. Its description in RNAcentral is "bacterial SSU rRNA". It matches the Rfam family "Bacterial small subunit ribosomal RNA", at positions 10 to 495 of the family's 1533-position model. The record is from RNAcentral.